RNAcentral lists this ribosomal RNA (475 nucleotides) under uncultured bacterium. RNAcentral describes it as "bacterial SSU rRNA". It matches the Rfam family "Bacterial small subunit ribosomal RNA", at positions 28 to 500 of the family's 1533-position model. The record is from RNAcentral.
GAUGAACGCUGGCGGCGUGCCUAACACAUGCAAGUCGAGCGCGAUUGUUUGGAUUGGAAACUUCGGUCAAAGAGAAGAACAUGAAAGCGGCGGACGGGUGAGUAACGCGUGAGCAACCUGCCCUGUACAGGGGGAUAGCCACUGGAAACGGUGAUUAAUACCCCAUAAGUCUGUAGGACCGCAUGGUCCAGCAGACAAAGCCUUGGCGGUACAGGAUGGGCUCGCGUCUGAUUAGCUAGUUGGUGAGGUAACGGCUCACCAAGGCUUCGAUCAGUAGCCGACCUGAGAGGGUGAACGGCCACACUGGAACUGAGACACGGUCCAGACUCCUACGGGAGGCAGCAGUGGGGAAUAUUGCACAAUGGGCGCAAGCCUGAUGCAGCAACGCCGCGUGAGUGAAGAAGGCCUUCGGGUCGUAAAACUCUGUCCUAAGGGAAGAAGAAGUGACGGUACCUUAGGAGGAAGCCCCGGCUAA